This 574-nucleotide ribosomal RNA is filed under the name Sphingomonas sp. RNAcentral describes it as "partial 23S ribosomal RNA". It matches the Rfam family "Bacterial large subunit ribosomal RNA", at positions 1 to 552 of the family's 2925-position model. The record is from RNAcentral. Lineage: Bacteria; Pseudomonadati; Pseudomonadota; Alphaproteobacteria; Sphingomonadales; Sphingomonadaceae.
UUAUACAAGCGUGAGGUAAGGGCAAUUCGUGGAUGCCUUGGCGCAUACAGGCGAUGAAGGACGUGGCACGCUGCGAUAAGCUUGGGUGAGGUGUGAGCAACCGUUGACCCCGAGAUUUCCGAAUGGGGAAACCCACCUAUCCGUUUAAUCAGCUGAGCCGCUCGGCGGCACGCUUCAUGCGUGUCGUCGAUAGGCGCAUCUGGUUAGGCGGAGACAGGUAUCUCUUAACUGAAUACAUAGGUUUCGAGAAGCGAACCCGGUGAACUGAAACAUCUCAGUAGCUGGAGGAAAAGACAUCAACCGAGAUUCCGUUAGUAGUGGCGAGCGAACGCGGACCAGGCCAGUGCCUGAUGUUCAACUAGCAGAACGAUCUGGAAAGAUCGGCCGUAGCGGGUGACAGCCCCGUAUGCGAAAGUGAGACAUCAGGACUCGAGUAGGGCGGGACACGUGUAAUCCUGUCUGAACAUGGGGGGACCACCCUCCAAGCCUAAAUACUCGUAUGCGACCGAUAGUGAACUAGUACCGUGAGGGAAAGGUGAAAAGCACCCCGAUGAGGGGAGUGAAACAGUACCUG